CUGAUAUACUUAUUCUAUAAAUCUGAUUUUUUAAUUCUAUUAAGUAUUAAUUAAUUAAUUAUAACAAACCAUUUCAAUAAUUUUAUAAUUUUUUAUAAACAGUGUUUAAUUAAUAUACUAUUCUCACAAUGGAGAUAUCACUCCUGGGAGAUUGUCAUUAAUAACAGGACAAAUCUGUUUUCUGAACACAAUUUCCAAAGAUUUUGCUGUCAUUGCUUGAACAAAAUUUUUUACAGAUCUCACUACAGUUGUAUAUGCCAUCAAAUCUGCAGAGCAUAUUAAUAGCUUCUUUUUGCUAAUGCUGUUGUAUUCCUUCUGUAAACUAUAUCUCUCUGAUAUUCUUUUAUUCUUGUUCCUAAGUUCCUUCCUAUCUUUCCUAUAUAUUCCUUAUUUGUUUGCAGAUCAACUUAUACAUAGGAGUUUCUAUAUACUAGACUUUAUAUUGUUAUAUCUUUUUCAUUUUGUAAUGAUGCAAAUAUUGUGGGUUAUUGCCAGUAUGCAAUCUUUCACCUUGCUUUUCUCUUUAUUCUUUUUACCAUCCCCCAUACAAUUAACAAAUUAUUAACCUGCAACUGCUGCAAUUACGGUGGUAUUGCCACUGCAAUUAGCGUUAAUUAUUAAUGAGUUUAUAAAUUAUCAAUCCGUCGCGAUAGAAUUUGAUUGACGUUAAUAUUAUAUACCAUUACAAUCCUCAGAAUAUGUAGUUUCGUAAUAUAUUGAUCAAAUCUCUCAGAUUUUAACCUAUAAAAUUAAAAAAAAUCAUAAAAUC
This 769-nucleotide long non-coding RNA is filed under the name Androctonus crassicauda. Lineage: Eukaryota; Metazoa; Arthropoda; Arachnida; Scorpiones; Buthidae. The record is from RNAcentral.